Molecule: long non-coding RNA, 1346 nt
Organism: Amphibalanus amphitrite
Lineage: Eukaryota; Metazoa; Arthropoda; Thecostraca; Balanomorpha; Balanidae
Exons: 3
Source: RefSeq, a predicted model, not a curated record
GCCGCCCACCUGGUCCGCCUCAACAGAGCGGCGAGUCAACGAGGAGGCAGCAGUGUACUGAGCAUUCUUGCAGGGACAACUUACCUGCAGUUCUCACCUUAUCGGUUUAUAAGACAGCCAUGCUGCGCUGUCUGUGGGUGUUGGUCCUGCUAGCGGCGCUGUCGGUGACCUGCGCCAGACCAGGACCGUGGAGCCCUCAGACCAGUCGUACCUACGACCUAUUUCAGCUCGCAGCCAAAUAUGAACGCGCAAAGAGAUUGCAGCAAAUACUUCGUCAGGUCAACAGGCCACGCUGGGGGACAAAAACAGUCCCUAAGGAUGCCAGGACUAUUUUGAGGGAAAAACUGGCCGCAGAAUGGAGAAAUCGACUUCUGCAGAGUUUGGCGGGAUGAUUGGGAGUUGGAAGAGCAGCACCCAGCAUGUAUUAGACAACGGCGUACUAAGAGGAGCCGGACUAACAUUAAUGAAUUACAAUUUCGGACAGCAUGUCGCCUGACAUGGAUAAUAAACGGUGAAAACCGACGAUGUGUCUAAAAAUCCGUUUGUUGUUGGCUUUAUUUGUAACGCUUGUUAAUACAUAUUUUGCACGGUGGAGAAUCGAUGCUUACUGCCUGUUCCAUCAGACAAGCAGACAUAACUGACAUAACACCUUUUUCAACACCAUAACACAUAUUUAGACAUAACAACAUGUCUAAAUUUUUAAUUUAUCCGUUUUGAUCCCUCUCCCGUAUUGGCGUUAUACGGUGGCUAUAGGGCAGAAUAAAUUAGGUCCCAGCCUUCAAGUGGUUGGUUGAAAGUUAGUAAGUGUAUGUACCACCGACCAUUUUUUAAGGAAUGUAUGUUAUUGGCAGCACUGAUUCGGAAUACCUGUGUUGUGACUUGUCAAUGUCCUGCCAGGUCACCAUCGGGCCCUUCACGGCCAUCACAUCUGCGGCCUUUUGCCUCAUCAACUUUGAUGACAAGAAGAAGGCCAUUCGCGACAUGAUGAUGGCCGUAUUCGGAAAAGAGGUGCUGGGCAGCUCCUCUAUGAGGGGACAAGCAUGUCCCCUUAACAAGAACAAGGGGCUUGAGCACCCGACGAGGCCGGUCCUUGAUCAAGGGAAGCUUCGUGAUAUUAUCACGUUCUUGGUCAACCGGCUUAAGAUGCCCGAGUCCGAAGUAAAGGACGUCAUCAGCAGAAAAAUAAACGACGAGAAUAGCGCGGCCCUGAAGGCCAAGAAGAGGGCCGAGCAGGGCCAGUAAGGACGUAGUGUCCGGGAGCCCUACCUUCGUCCCUCCCCCUCCAGCUGGAAUGGAACCCUGUGCUCAACGCCCGUUUGAAAAUGUUAAUACAUGCGAGAUGAGUA